CCAGUACCCUUUCAUUGACUUCCACACUAUUAACUUUGUGUCUAAACAUGAGAAGUCCUGCAGAGCCCAUCUCAUACACAGGUCUAAGUUACGCUUAUUGGCCCAUUCCGCAAUAAGAAGCACACAAGCCUAAACAGUGAACACAGUGACAGUAUCUCCCAUUCCGCAAUAGGAAUCACACAAUCCCAAACAGUGAAUGAAGUGACAGUAUCUCCCAUUCUGCAA
Pelobates cultripes (western spadefoot toad) is the source of this 225-nucleotide non-coding RNA. The record is from the annotation of a GenBank genome assembly. NCBI's taxonomy places the organism in Eukaryota, Metazoa, Chordata, Amphibia, Anura, Pelobatidae.